UACAGAGGUCCCCGAGCGUUGUUCGGAUUCAUUGGGCGUAAAGGGUGCGUAGGCGGUUUGCUAAGUUUGAUGUGAAAUCCCGGGGCUCAACCCUGGAAUUGCAUUGAAUACUGGCGGACUAGAGUCCUGGAGAGGAAACUGGAAUUUACGGUGUAGCAGUGAAAUGCGUAGAGAUCGUAAGGAAGACCAGUGGCGAAGGCGAGUUUCUGGACAGGUACUGACGCUGAGGCACGAAGGCCAGGGGAGCAAACGGG
This 254-nucleotide ribosomal RNA is filed under the name uncultured bacterium. RNAcentral describes it as "partial 16S ribosomal RNA". It matches the Rfam family "Bacterial small subunit ribosomal RNA", at positions 524 to 776 of the family's 1533-position model. The record is from RNAcentral.